UUUCAACAACGGAUCUCUUGGUUCUGGCAUCGAUGAAGAACGCAGCGAAAUGCGAUAAGUAAUGUGAAUUGCAGAAUUCAGUGAAUCAUCGAAUCUUUGAACGCACAUUGCGCCCGUCAGUAUUCUGGCGGGCAUGCCUGUUCGAGCGUCAUUACGCC
This 158-nucleotide ribosomal RNA is filed under the name Metarhizium robertsii. RNAcentral describes it as "5.8S ribosomal RNA". It matches the Rfam family "5.8S ribosomal RNA". Rfam says of the family: 5.8S ribosomal RNA (5.8S rRNA) is a component of the large subunit of the eukaryotic ribosome. It is transcribed by RNA polymerase I as part of the 45S precursor that also contains 18S and 28S rRNA. The record is from RNAcentral. Lineage: Eukaryota; Fungi; Ascomycota; Sordariomycetes; Hypocreales; Clavicipitaceae.